CUUUAUUGUAAUUUAUAGGUCUCCGCUCAGUAACUAGUAAUAAACGUUAACCUCUGUUUGCUGAGCACGUAAGAAAACAAUCUAAUAAUAUCGUUUAUCGUACUGAAGUAUAAAGUAAAUUGCAAUAGAAAUUGAUUUCAAGACUGGUUUUGUGUAACAACAAACAGUAUCGCGCAGAAUUUAUUGCAUCUUGGUUUUCUUUUAAGUUUGUAUUUCAAUAGCUUUAGAACAAGAAAUUUAAUACAAGUGCGAUGAAUUGUUUUACUUCAAUAGCGAUGGGUAGUAAGAGUUUGAUUGCAUUCGAGAUGACCUCGAGCAAAGAAAAUAAGUGGAAUCAAAAUUUAAAAAAGAGGGUGUGGAGAGGGAACAAGAGAAAGAGUAAAAUCAUGAGAGCGGAAAAGAGGGAGAGCCUAUAUGAUAAAAUGAAAAAGAGAAAGGGAGGAAAAGAGUAGAUUUCUGGAAAAAAAUAACCUUAAAGAAAUCUGACCGAUGGUCGCUGGAGCAGACGUGCUUAUGGAGUGGAGACCGCGUCUUGGCAAACGCAAUGUGAGACGCCCUCCAUCCCGCUGAUCGAUGAUCUACGUAAGAUUGGCGCUGGUGGCUGGAUGAGGAUCCCAGGGGAUAACUGGGAUGUCUGGUGCGUACUUGGGGAUGCCUAUGUCCAGCAAAACUGCGAUAGCCUGAAGUGAGGACCUAAAUGUACAGUUAGACUAAAAUAG
RNAcentral lists this unclassified non-coding RNA (719 nucleotides) under Melitaea cinxia (Glanville fritillary). RNAcentral describes it as "misc RNA ENSMCXG00005016656.1". Lineage: Eukaryota; Metazoa; Arthropoda; Insecta; Lepidoptera; Nymphalidae. The record is from RNAcentral.